ACAGGAAGUGGGAGAGGAGACACUCAUUGCCUAUCAGUGUCUGUGUGGGAAACCGCAUCCAUCAAUAAAGGAAGUAUUUGUCCAUGUGGCUCAGGUAACAUGGUUGCAUCUGCAGGACAGAGCAAUACCGGCCAGGAGAUGAUGCUGCAGGACACGAUUUCAAGAUUUUGAAUAAGAAGACCUGAAUUGGACAGAGGUUCAUGCUGGUGAAAUUGGCAGGGCUUUGAAACCUGUGGAAGCGAAGCGACCGUAAAGGGCCUUGAAGGCAGAUGAGGAUCCUGGAGUGUGAGAAGUUUUCUUGUGACGGGACACCUGUUUUCUGGCUGAUAUCUUGUCUUUCUGUGGGUGAGGAUGCUGAGCACCUGCACAUUGACAAUUACGUGCUCAUUAAAUUUAAAGCACGAUCGUCCAGUUUAAACAUCACACAGCUGAUUCCUUUGGUGACUAACAUAUGGCGUGAACUAUAGUCAUGUAUAUGUGACUAUGAUUUCACCCUUUUAUUUAAAAUUUAAAAAGUAUCACAAAGUAUGUUUUUUGAUUGGAUCAUUACCACUGGAAAUCCUCCCGCCCCGAAUCAGUGCCUUGCCGAUGCUCUGAAUACAUCAGAAACCAGAUGCAGCCAUUAAUGGAUGAGCAUAAAGUAUUG
Molecule: long non-coding RNA, 646 nt
Organism: Triplophysa rosa
Lineage: Eukaryota; Metazoa; Chordata; Actinopteri; Cypriniformes; Nemacheilidae
Exons: 3
Source: RefSeq, a predicted model, not a curated record